UUAAGCGACUAAGCGUACACGGUGGAUGCCCUGGCAGUCAGAGGCGAUGAAGGACGUGCUAAUCUGCGAUAAGCGCCGGUAAGGUGAUAUGAACCGUUAUAACCGGCGAUUUCCGAAUGGGGAAACCCAGUGUGAUUCGUCACACUAUCAUUAACUGAAUCCAUAGGUUAAUGAGGCGAACCGGGGGAACUGAAACAUCUAAGUACCCCGAGGAAAAGAAAUCAACCGAGAUUCCCCCAGUAGCGGCGAGCGAACGGGGAGGAGCCCAGAGCCUGAAUCAGCAUGUGUGUUAGUGGAAGCGUCUGGAAAGGUGCGCGAUACAGGGUGACAGCCCCGUACACAAAAGCGCAUGUGCUGUGAGCUCGAUGAGUAGGGCGGGACACGUGGUAUCCUGUCUGAAUAUGGGGGGACCAUCCUCCAAGGCUAAAUACUCCUGACUGACCGAUAGUGAACCAGUACCGUGAGGGAAAGGCGAAAAGAACCCCGGCGAGGGGAGUGAAAAAGAACCUGAAACCGUGUACGUACAAGCAGUGGGAGCACAGGUUUACCUGUGUGACUGCGUACCUUUUGUAUAAUGGGUCAGCGACUUAUAUUCUGUAGCAAGGUUAACCGAAUAGGGGAGCCGGAGGGAAACCGAGUCUUAAUUGGGCGUUAAGUUGCAGGGUAUAGACCCGAAACCCGGUGAUCUAGCCAUGGGCAGGUUGAAGGUUGGGUAACACUAACUGGAGGACCGAACCGACUAAUGUUGAAAAAUUAGCGGAUGACCUGUGGCUGGGGGUGAAAGGCCAAUCAAACCGGGAGAUAGCUGGUUCUCCCCGAAAGCUAUUUAGGUAGCGCCUCGUGAAUUCAUCUCCGGGGGUAGAGCACUGUUUCGGCUAGGGGGCCAUCCCGGCUUACCAACCCGAUGCAAACUGCGAAUACCGGAGAAUGUUAUCACGGGAGACACACGGCGGGUGCUAACGUCCGUCGUGAAGAGGGAAACAACCCAGACCGCCAGCUAAGGUCCCAAAGUCAUGGUUAAGUGGGAAACGAUGUGGGAAGGCCCAGACAGCCAGGAUGUUGGCUUAGAAGCAGCCAUCAUUUAAAGAAAGCGUAAUAGCUCACUGGUCGAGUCGGCCUGCGCGGAAGAUGUAACGGGGCUAAACCAUGCACCGAAGCUGCGGCAGCGAACGUAUCACCCAAGACAACUUUACGGAGUUGACGAUUGACGGAGCGAAGCGACGUCAAAGCGUUCAUUAAAGUCGAGUUGGCUUAGGGAUACGUUCGUUGGGUAGGGGAGCGUUCUGUAAGCCUGUGAAGGUGUGUCGUGAGGCAUGCUGGAGGUAUCAGAAGUGCGAAUGCUGACAUAAGUAACGAUAAAGCGGGUGAAAAGCCCGCUCGCCGGAAGACCAAGGGUUCCUGUCCAACGUUAAUCGGGGCAGGGUGAGUCGACCCCUAAGGCGAGGCCGAAAGGCGUAGUCGAUGGGAAACGGGUUAAUAUUCCCGUACUUGGUGUUACUGCGAAGGGGGGACGGAGAAGGCUAUGUUGGCCGGGCGACGGUUGUCCCGGUUUAAGCGUGUAGGUGUGUGUUCCAGGUAAAUCCGGUUCACUUUAACACUGAGGCGUGAUGACGAGGCACUACGGUGCUGAAGCAACAAAUGCCCUGCUUCCAGGAAAAGCCUCUAAGCAUCAGGUAACAUCAAAUCGUACCCCAAACCGACACAGGUGGUCAGGUAGAGAAUACCAAGGCGCUUGAGAGAACUCGGGUGAAGGAACUAGGCAAAAUGGUGCCGUAACUUCGGGAGAAGGCACGCUGACACGUAGGUGAAGUGAUUUACUCACGGAGCUGAAGUCAGUCGAAGAUACCAGCUGGCUGCAACUGUUUAUUAAAAACACAGCACUGUGCAAACACGAAAGUGGACGUAUACGGUGUGACGCCUGCCCGGUGCCGGAAGGUUAAUUGAUGGGGUCAGCGCAAGCGAAGCUCCUGAUCGAAGCCCCGGUAAACGGCGGCCGUAACUAUAACGGUCCUAAGGUAGCGAAAUUCCUUGUCGGGUAAGUUCCGACCUGCACGAAUGGCGUAAUGAUGGCCAGGCUGUCUCCACCCGAGACUCAGUGAAAUUGAACUCGCUGUGAAGAUGCAGUGUACCCGCGGCAAGACGGAAAGACCCCGUGAACCUUUACUAUAGCUUGACACUGAACAUUGAGCCUUGAUGUGUAGGAUAGGUGGGAGGCUUUGAAGUGUGGACGCCAGUCUGCAUGGAGCCGACCUUGAAAUACCACCCUUUAAUGUUUGAUGUUCUAACGUGGACCCGUAAUCCGGGUUGCGGACAGUGUCUGGUGGGUAGUUUGACUGGGGCGGUCUCCUCCUAAAGAGUAACGGAGGAGCACGAAGGUUGGCUAAUCCUGGUCGGACAUCAGGAGGUUAGUGCAAUGGCAUAAGCCAGCUUGACUGCGAGCGUGACGGCGCGAGCAGGUGCGAAAGCAGGUCAUAGUGAUCCGGUGGUUCUGAAUGGAAGGGCCAUCGCUCAACGGAUAAAAGGUACUCCGGGGAUAACAGGCUGAUACCGCCCAAGAGUUCAUAUCGACGGCGGUGUUUGGCACCUCGAUGUCGGCUCAUCACAUCCUGGGGCUGAAGUAGGUCCCAAGGGUAUGGCUGUUCGCCAUUUAAAGUGGUACGCGAGCUGGGUUUAGAACGUCGUGAGACAGUUCGGUCCCUAUCUGCCGUGGGCGCUGGAGAACUGAGGGGGGCUGCUCCUAGUACGAGAGGACCGGAGUGGACGCAUCACUGGUGUUCGGGUUGUCAUGCCAAUGGCACUGCCCGGUAGCUAAAUGCGGAAGAGAUAAGUGCUGAAAGCAUCUAAGCACGAAACUUGCCCCGAGAUGAGUUCUCCCUGAGACUUAGAGUCUCCUGAAGGAACGUUGAAGACGACGACGUUGAUAGGCCGGGUGUGUAAGCGCAGCGAUGCGUUGAGCUAACCGGUACUAAUGAACCGUGAGGCUUAACCUU
RNAcentral lists this ribosomal RNA (2990 nucleotides) under Salmonella enterica subsp. enterica serovar Typhimurium. RNAcentral describes it as "bacterial LSU rRNA". It matches the Rfam family "Bacterial large subunit ribosomal RNA". Lineage: Bacteria; Pseudomonadati; Pseudomonadota; Gammaproteobacteria; Enterobacterales; Enterobacteriaceae. The record is from RNAcentral.